GUCUGAGAGGAUGAUCAGUCACACUGGAACUGAGACACGGUCCAGACUCCUACGGGAGGCAGCAGUGGGGAAUAUUGGACAAUGGGCGAAAGCCUGAUCCAGCCAUGCCGCGUGUGUGAAGAAGGUCUUCGGAUUGUAAAGCACUUUAAGUUGGGAGGAAGGGCAUUAACCUAAUACGUUAGUGUUUUGACGUUACCGACAGAAUAAGCACCGGCUAACUCUGUGCCAGCAGCCGCGGUAAUACAGAGGGUGCAAGCGUUAAUCGGAAUUACUGGGCGUAAAGUCGUCGCGUAGGUGGUUUGUUAAGUUGGAUGUGAAAUCCCCGGGCUCAACCUGGGAACUGCAUUCAAAACUGACUGACUAGAGUAUGGUAGAGGGUGGUGGAAUUUCCUGUGUAGCGGUGAAAUGUCGUAGAUAUAGGAAGGAACACCAGUGGCGAAGGCGACCACCUGGACUAAUACUGACACUGAGGUGCGAAAGGUCGUGGGGAGCAAACAGGAUUAGAUACCCUGGUAGUCCACGCCGUAAACGCAUGUCAACUAGCCGUU
RNAcentral lists this ribosomal RNA (548 nucleotides) under Pseudomonas sp. Baz1. RNAcentral describes it as "bacterial SSU rRNA". It matches the Rfam family "Bacterial small subunit ribosomal RNA", at positions 290 to 824 of the family's 1533-position model. Lineage: Bacteria; Pseudomonadati; Pseudomonadota; Gammaproteobacteria; Pseudomonadales; Pseudomonadaceae. The record is from RNAcentral.